UACGGGAGGCAGCAGGGGGAAUAUUGGACAAUGGGCGAAAGCCUGAUCCAGCCAUGCCGCAUGAGUGAAGAAGGCCUUCGGGUUGUAAAGCUCUUUUAGUGAGAAAGAUAAUGACGGUACUCACAGAAGAAGUCCUGGCUAACUCCGUGCCAGCAGCCGCGGUAAUACGGAGAGGGCUAGCGUUAUUCGGAAUUAUUGGGCGUAAAGAGCGCGUAGGCUGAUUAGUAAGUUAAAAGUGAAAUCCCAAAGCUUAAACUUUGGAAUUGCUUUUUAAAACUGCUAGUCUAGAGAUUGAAAGAGGAUAGAGGAAUUCCUAGUGUAGAGGUGAAAUUCGUAAAUAUUAGGAGGAACACCAGUGGCGAAGGCGUCUAUCUGGUUCAAAUCUGACGCUGAGGCGCGAAGGGCGUGGGGAGCAAACAGGGAUUUAGAUACC
This 433-nucleotide ribosomal RNA is filed under the name uncultured bacterium. RNAcentral describes it as "bacterial SSU rRNA". It matches the Rfam family "Bacterial small subunit ribosomal RNA", at positions 340 to 786 of the family's 1533-position model. The record is from RNAcentral.